Molecule: long non-coding RNA, 1493 nt
Filed under: Phaseolus vulgaris (common bean)
Lineage: Eukaryota; Viridiplantae; Streptophyta; Magnoliopsida; Fabales; Fabaceae
Description: long non-coding RNA (PVUL_LNC004428)
Source: RNAcentral
CCAUCUUAAAUUCUCUCUAUUUAUUCAUUUCUUUAUUUCAACUCCAAUUCCACAUGUCCGAAGGUCCAACUCCCUCUUCGUGUGGUAUUCUAUCCGACGAAAGUUUAAAUUGCUGAAAGGUAAAUUUAAAUAGAAGUUUCAAAUUUUUUUUAUUUGGAUGAGUUGUUUGAAUGUUGUUGGGGUUUUGUUGGGGUUUAUUAUUGUUUCAGCUUAUAUUUUGGUUUUGGAAAUUUUAUAGUUGAAUGAGAUGCUGAUUUUCUUUGUAAAUUUCUGUUUAUGAUUAUUGAGCAGUUUACAGUUUGGUUUGGUUUGGCGAAUUUUAUGGGCAUUGAAUAUGUGAGUUUUGUGGGAGGGAAUUUUAUUGUAGAAAAGAGUAGAGUUAGUUCAUGUUAUAAAUGUUUUAGUGUAGAGAUUGUGAAAGGUAUAAAGAAAAAGCAUGUUUUGUGAAAGAGGGCCAUGAAAGUGGAAGAAAAGAUUAAAAAAGGAAGGUUUAUAUGGAGAAAGGUAGGUUAGGAAGAAGUUCUUGGCUAAAAAUAUGAAUUGUGUUUUUCACAUUAUUUUAUAGUUUUUUCCUUACAAAAUAUUGUCAGUUUUGUCUGCAUAAUUUUAGCUUCUAAUUUUUUUUUUAUAGUUUUUAUAAAAUCGCAAUUUUUUAUGUAGGUUAUUUUUAUAUUAGAAGAUAUUAAUUGACAUUUUUUUGGAAGGAUCUAAAUAAUGUAAUAAAACAGUAUGUAGUAUUCUAAAAAUUGAAACAUAGUAAAAAGCCUAAAACAAUUUUUCAAGGCCUUUAUCCAGCCGGUCUUGUGGGAAGCACAUUCUGUGAGUCAUUUAUUAGAAGAAUGUUUUCUGGAUUGAAAUUUAUUGAAAACAUAGGUUUCCUAGAUAGUUAAUGUAAAAUGUAUAAUAUUCAAUAUUAACUUUGAUUUGCAUUAAUAAAUUAAUUAGCUUGUGAAUACAAAUUAGUACUGAAUUUUUUUAUUUUAACAACUUAUUUUAUUUAAAAUAUUAUAUAUAUAUAUAUAUAUAUACAUAUAUAUAUAUAUAUAGAUAUACAUAUAUAUAUAUAGAUAUACAUAUAUAUAUAUAUACAUAGAUAUACAUACAUAUCUAUAUAUCUAUAAUAUAUAUAUAUAUAUAUAUAUAUAUAUAUUUUUUUAUUUUUAUUUUUUGUUAAAAGAAAUUAAAAGUUGCUGGUGCAUAAAAUAAACAGGGGUGGCAGAUAGUAAAAGUGAUGGGCCAGUUGAAUGAUUCGAGGUUUUAAAACUGAGUGCAGGUAUAAUAAGCGUGGUGGUGCAGAUAAGAAAAUGGUGUGCAGCAGAAUGGUGCCAGGCUUUUCAAAAGAUUGUGUACAUAUAUGAAGUAUAUGGUCCAAAUAGUAAAGUGCUGGGAGUAUUAAUAUCAAAGAGAGGGGGUCUGAAAAGUAUUUGUCCUAUCUUAUAAUAAUUUUAGAAUUUUCAAAGUUAUUAAAUUCUCAUUAAAAAACUAGUACUGGA